Molecule: long non-coding RNA, 1845 nt
Organism: Carassius carassius (crucian carp)
Lineage: Eukaryota; Metazoa; Chordata; Actinopteri; Cypriniformes; Cyprinidae
Exons: 2
Source: RefSeq, a predicted model, not a curated record
UUCACCUAGAGUUCAAUAUAUUUUACAUUUAAAGGUGCAGUGUGUAAACUUUAGCGGAAUCUAGCGGUAAGUCUAAAAAACAAAGGUUCAAAAAGGGUGUUUUCACAGUGAUGCCAUAGUAAAGAACCAUUUUAUUUCUGAAAGAACGUAUCAGUGAACAGUCCUUAGCAGAACCAUUUUUAUUAGUGUGAAGAACAUUUUAACAUUUUUUUCUCUUUUGUCUACAUCGUCACACACCGGGAGACUUCUAAAAGUGCUUCUUCCCAGUGUUCAAGAAUCGGUGAGUCAUGUGUUUUAAAUACCAAUAAAAGAAGAUGAGACAAUCAUAUUCUAAAGGCGAUUGCAAGGGUUGCUCAUAAACUAGAAGAAUUCUGAUAAAACGUUGCAACUUGUGAUUUGCAGUUCCUGCCCUCUUCUGCCAUCUAGUGUUGAAUGUUUGCAGUUGCAGGCUUAUUCGUCAUAUAAUUAAUGUGUACACACCUCACUUUAGUGCGCUGUCUGUGUAAUUAAUGGUUGAAUUAUAAGACCUGAACAUGGAGGCUGAAUGUGAUUUGUUUACCUCUGAGUUCAAGACGUCCAUCUCUAUCAAUGACUGCUGACUCCAUAACGGCCUGUGUGUCUUCGCCUGACAGAGGCGCCUGGGGUAGGAUACAGACCAUGGACAAAAUAUCAGAGAAAGAUGUUGUUCAGCCAGAGAUGAUGACAAUGCACAAACAGACUGACAAUGUAAAGGUGGGCUCUGAAUGCUUAAAUUACAGUCUUGUGAUGAAUUUCACACUGUUAAAUGACAGCGUGUGGACUCCUCCUGCACCUCUGAGGAUUUCAACUCUGUCAUGAAAUCUAGAAACAUACUGUACUAUUUCUCUGGUGAGAGAGGAAAGGACCCAUUCAAUAACUUGAAGACACUUUAAUGACACAAGAUGUUUUUGCAAGCGUUACAUGCAUCUGAAUUUGAUGCCGCAGUUACAUGAACAUGUAAUGAGUCAAACAAAAAGGAAAAUUUUUAAAAAAAUGUUGGAAUUACCAUUUGACACCAUUGAUAAUAUAUUAUCAUAUACUUUUGGUGUUUUUUUUUCAUCUAUUCAUACAGACAGCUGUGUAUAUAAGAAGAGACUAAACCAUAUCAUUUCACUUCUGAUAAAGCAAAUCAGAAGACCUAAAAAUGAAUUUUGAUUCAGAAACUGAAUGUGUAUUAAAGACUACCAUUUUAAAUAUGGAUACAAAAAAAUUUAAUAAAUAAAUGUCCACAUCAUAUUAUCAAAUUCAUUUAAGGCACUGUCUAGUCAAUAGUACUCUUAUAAUGCAGUGAAUUUUAUCUUGUUGCCUCAUCUGGAAUUUGAUCAAUGUCUUUCUCACUCAGUUUCACCAUCAUGCCCAGAGCAACUUCAUCUGCGGUCCAAAGCCAUCUGCUGUUAUGUCAGCAUAAAGAUAUUUGGAAGUUUCAGUAUCAAAAUAGAUGUAAAGCAACAUUUUAGCUCCAGUAACCCUCUCUACAUGCUUGUGUAAGCAUAAAGUCUUUAAUAAUAAUGACUGACGCAGAGAUGUUAUCAUGUAUAAAUGAGUGUUUGCACGACGGGUGAAAGAUGUUUUAAUAAUUGUAAUGAUCAUUAACUCUCACCAUUUGAAUAAUGAGGGAAAUGAAGUCUUGAGUCUAUGGCUCCUCUGAGAGGCAGCAUCUUACUUCCCCCCCAAAGGCACGACUUGCAAUAUGACUCAUGUGAAUGAAGCAAAAGUGUGGCCUUAAAAGACCUGGUUGGAGACCUGACAGAAACAGCAUUGUUGUUCUAGUUUUGCCACCAAUAACCUGUGAAUUUAUGCAAUUAAAUAGUAUGUUCUUUGAUAAUC